Molecule: ribosomal RNA, 373 nt
Filed under: uncultured organism
Description: bacterial SSU rRNA
Rfam family: Bacterial small subunit ribosomal RNA
Source: RNAcentral
CGUAGGGGACGAGCGUUGUCCGGAUUCAUUGGGCGUAAAGCGCGCGUAGGCGGCUCGGAAAGUCGGUCGUGAAAGGCUGGGGCUCAACCCCAGGACUGCGUCCGAUACUUCCGGGCUGGAGGUAGGUAGGGGAGAUCGAAAUUCCUGGUGUAGCGGUGAAAUGCGCAGAUAUCAGGAGGAACACCGGUGGCGAAGGCGGAUCUCUGGGCCUUACCUGACGCUGAGGCGCGAAAGCUAGGGGAGCGAACAGGAUUAGAUACCCUGGUAGUCCUAGCCGUAAACGUUGGGUGCUAGGUGUGGGCGGACAUCGACCCCGUCCGUGCCGAAGCUAACGCAUUAAGCACCCCGCCUGGGGAGUACGGCCGCAAGGCUA